This 468-nucleotide ribosomal RNA is filed under the name uncultured bacterium. Its description in RNAcentral is "partial 16S ribosomal RNA". It matches the Rfam family "Bacterial small subunit ribosomal RNA", at positions 28 to 507 of the family's 1533-position model. The record is from RNAcentral.
GACGAACGCUGGCGGCGUGCUUAACACAUGCAAGUCGAACGGAAAGGCCCUGCUUUUGUGGGGUGCUCGAGUGGCGAACGGGCGAGUAACACGUGAGUAACCUGCCCUUGACUUUGAGCUAACUUCAGGAAACGGGGGCUAAUACCGGAUAGGCGCUCCUGCUGCAGGGGGGGGGAUGGAAAGUUUCGGGGGUUGGGGAUGGACUCGCGGCUUAUCGGCUUGUUGGUGGGGUAGUGGCUUACCAAGGCUUUGACGGGUACCCGGCCGGGGGGGGUGACCGGCCACAUUGGGAUUGGGACACGGCCCAGCCUCCUCCGGGAGCCAGCAGGGGGGAUUUUGGCCCAAGGGGCGGAAGCCGGAGGCGGCAACGCCGCGUGCGGGAUGGCGGCCUUCGGGUGGAAAACCGUUUUCGCCUGUGACGAAGCGGGAGUGACGGUAAUGGGUAAAGAAGCACCGGCUAACUACGUG